RNAcentral lists this transfer RNA (84 nucleotides) under Candidatus Jorgensenbacteria bacterium. RNAcentral describes it as "tRNA-Leu". It matches the Rfam family "tRNA". Rfam says of the family: Transfer RNA (tRNA) molecules are approximately 80 nucleotides in length. Their secondary structure includes four short double-helical elements and three loops (D, anti-codon, and T loops). Further hydrogen bonds mediate the characteristic L-shaped molecular structure. tRNAs have two regions of fundamental functional importance: the anti-codon, which is responsible for specific mRNA codon recognition, and the 3' end, to which the tRNAs corresponding amino acid is attached (by aminoacyl-tRNA synthetases). tRNAs cope with the degeneracy of the genetic code in two manners: having more than one tRNA (with a specific anti-codon) for a particular amino acid; and 'wobble' base-pairing, i.e. permitting non-standard base-pairing at the 3rd anti-codon position. Lineage: Bacteria; Candidatus Joergenseniibacteriota. The record is from RNAcentral.
GCUGGAGUGGUGGAAUUGGCAGACACAUAGGCUUCAGGAGCCUAAGGCCAUUAGGCCGUGAGGGUUCAAAUCCCUCCUCCAGCA